This 1314-nucleotide long non-coding RNA is filed under the name Ricinus communis (castor bean). RNAcentral's name for it is "long non-coding RNA (RCOM_LNC002291)". Lineage: Eukaryota; Viridiplantae; Streptophyta; Magnoliopsida; Malpighiales; Euphorbiaceae. The record is from RNAcentral.
GCCUUCGUUGCCUCACGCCGUCCUCUUCUUUAACCUUAAGCCUCCGCUUCUUUCUUCUUUUUUAAGCUUACUAUGUAUCCCAGAUAGGGAUCAACUAUUGAUAAGACCGUUUUAGAUAUGUAUCAGCAUUUCAUCUUCUUAUUCUUCUUCUUUCUUUAGUUCUUCAUCAUCUCUCUCAAGUCCUCAACGAUUCGCAUUCAAGCACAUAAUGGAUUUGCUCACAGUUUUUUAUUUUUUUCUUUCAGGGACUAAAGCAGAAGGUGGACAGUGUCGCACAUUCGAGCAAAAAAUGGCACAAUUUGUUAAUUUAUUUUCUAUUUGUUCAAGUAUUUGUCUGACGUUUUAAGCUUCUUAUUAAUGUUCACUAUUUUUAAAAAUGCAUAUUUGACAAAGUUAUUCUUGCAGUGUAUAUCCUCAAUUACUUUUCAUUUUUUCCAAAGGUUUGCCGGAUAACAUGUAGUUUAGAUUAUAUGGACAUGUUCUAUUGAAUAGAACAAAAGGAGAUUGAGUGAGAGUUGUGCAGACAUAUCAAAUGCAAAAGUGAUUUUGGAUUUUGAAGCUCUUGCUUUGAUGCCUUAGUGGUUAAUUUUAGUUGGGAAAGCUUUUUUUUUUGUUUUUUUAAUAGUUUUGUUCUAUUUGUUUUCAUUUCUUUACAGACAUUGAAAUUGUUACUGCAUAUUGAAUUCUUUACUAUUCUAAUGGGCACAUAGGAUUUCAUUGCUCUACUAUUUUUCUUACCAGUAUAGAAUUAUAGUAGUACACAACCUUUUUUAGAAGGUGCAGUCAAAAGUUCUAUUUAUUGUCAAGACUGAACAACCGACUAAUUCUUUAUUGUCAUUUUCUGCACCAGAAAAUCAGAACAUCUGUAGCAGUACUAAAAUGUCUGAGUUGCAUAUGUGGAUUUAAUCUUUACUUGCAUAACCUUCAGCCAAUCUGUUUGCAUGCUGCAAAUUGCAUUAGUGAUAUUGCAAUUUAUAUGACUUCAUUAUUUUAUGAAGAAAUAUGAGCUCAUUACUUUGAAGAUAAUAGUUAUAGUUUGAUUAUAGGAAAAGAAACCAUCUGGAAUCAAUUAAUUUCCUUAGACCCAAUAUCUCAUUCUUGAUUACAAACUUGAUGUAGCAAUUUAAUGAUUCAUUAUUUGUCUCCUUGUCCUAAUUAAACUAGCUUUUUUCUUAUAAAAAGAAGGGUUUAAACUGUAAUGACCUACUUAUUUGAAUUCUCAGUAUAAUUGAGAAUAAUUUGCACAAACUCUUGUUAGAGCAGUGGCCCACGUGGAGUAAAUAGAUUUUACAAUUGGGUUAAAAAUAAAGCCCC